This 254-nucleotide ribosomal RNA is filed under the name uncultured bacterium. RNAcentral describes it as "partial 16S ribosomal RNA". It matches the Rfam family "Bacterial small subunit ribosomal RNA", at positions 524 to 776 of the family's 1533-position model. The record is from RNAcentral.
UACAGAGGUCUCAAGCGUUGUUCGGAUUCAUUGGGCGUAAAGAGCUCGUAGGCGGUGUGUCACGUCGGCCGUGAAAACCUGCAGCUUAACUGUGGGCGUGCGGUCGAUACGGGCAUCACUGGAGUUCGGCAGGGGAGACUGGAAUUCCUGGUGUAGCGGUGAAAUGCGCAGAUAUCAGGAGGAACACCGGUGGCGAAGGCGGGUCUCUGGGACGGUACUGACACUGAGGCGCGAAAGCGUGGGGAGCGAACAGG